GACGAACGCUGGCGGCGUGGAUUAGGCAUGCAAGUCGAACGGUAUCAUCCUUUCGGGGGUGAGAGAGUGGCGAACUGGUGAGUAACACGUAGGUUAUCUACCCUCAAGACGGGGACAACCCAGGGAAACUUGGGCUAAUACCGGAUGUGAGCAACUUUUAGUUGUUUGAAAGGUGGCGUAAGCUGUCGCUUGGGGAUGAGCCUGCGUCCUAUUAGUUAGUUGGUGAGGUAACGGCUCACCUAGGCAAUGAUAGGUAGGCGGCCUUAACGGGUGGUCGCCCACACUGGGAUUGAGAUACGGCCCAGACUCCUACGGGAGGCAGCAGUCGAGAAUAGUCUACAAUGGUCGGAAGACUGAUAGUGCGACGCCGCGUGAACGAUGAAUCCCUUCGGGGUGUAAAGUUCUUUUAUAUGUGAGCAGUGCUUCUUAUAUUAAACAGUAUGGGGAGAGAGAUAUUAGCAUAUGAAUAGCAACGGCUAACUCCGUGCCAGCAGCCGCGGUAAAACGU
RNAcentral lists this ribosomal RNA (508 nucleotides) under uncultured bacterium. RNAcentral describes it as "bacterial SSU rRNA". It matches the Rfam family "Bacterial small subunit ribosomal RNA", at positions 28 to 528 of the family's 1533-position model. The record is from RNAcentral.